UGAGUAACCUGCCUUUCAGAGUGGGAAUAACGUUUGGAAACGAACGCUAAUACCGCAUAACAUGAGAGAACGGCAUCGUUCUUUCAUCAAAGAUUUUAUCGCUGAGAGAUGGGCUCGCGGCCGAUUAGGUAGUUGGUGAGAUAACAGCCCACCAAGCCGACGAUCGGUAGCCGGACUGAGAGGUUGAACGGCCACAUUGGGACUGAGACACGGCCCAGACUCCUACGGGAGGCAGCAUG
Molecule: ribosomal RNA, 239 nt
Filed under: uncultured bacterium
Lineage: Bacteria
Description: partial 16S ribosomal RNA
Rfam family: Bacterial small subunit ribosomal RNA
Source: RNAcentral